AGGUCUGCCCCCGGGCAGGCCUAACCUCCCACCCGUGAAUACCUGACCAACGUUGCUUCGGCGGUGCGCCCCCCCCCGGGGGUAGCCGCCGGAGACCACACCGAACCUCCUGUCUUUAGUGUUGUCUGAGCUUGAUAGCAAACCUAUUAAAACUUUCAACAAUGGAUCUCUUGGUUCCGGCAUCGAUGAAGAACGCAGCGAACUGCGAUAAGUAAUGUGAAUUGCAGAAUUCAGUGAAUCAUCGAGUCUUUGAACGCACAUUGCGCCCCCUGGCAUUCCGGGGGGCAUGCCUGUCCGAGCGUCAUUGCUGCCCUUCAAGCCCGGCUUGUGUGUUGGGUCGUCGUCCCCCCCGGGGGACGGGCCCGAAAGGCAGCGGCGGCACCGCGUCCGGUCCUCGAGCGUAUGGGGCUUUGUCACCCGCUCGAUUAGGGCCGGCCGGGCGCCAGCCGGCGUCUCCAACCUUCUAUUUUACCAGGUUGACCUCGGAUCAGGUAGGGAUACCCGCUGAACUUAAGCA
Molecule: ribosomal RNA, 517 nt
Filed under: Aspergillus pseudodeflectus
Lineage: Eukaryota; Fungi; Ascomycota; Eurotiomycetes; Eurotiales; Aspergillaceae
Description: partial 18S ribosomal RNA
Rfam family: 5.8S ribosomal RNA (bases 151-304)
Source: RNAcentral